RNAcentral lists this transfer RNA (75 nucleotides) under Candidatus Bathyarchaeota archaeon. RNAcentral's name for it is "tRNA-Ile". It matches the Rfam family "tRNA", at positions 1 to 55 of the family's 71-position model. From Rfam's summary of the family: Transfer RNA (tRNA) molecules are approximately 80 nucleotides in length. Their secondary structure includes four short double-helical elements and three loops (D, anti-codon, and T loops). The record is from RNAcentral. Lineage: Archaea; Thermoproteati; Candidatus Bathyarchaeota.
GGGCCCGUAGCUCAGCCUGGUUAGAGCACUCGGCUGAUAACCGAGAGAAAAGAGCCGGGAAUGGUCCGGGGUUCG